Molecule: ribosomal RNA, 465 nt
Filed under: uncultured bacterium
Lineage: Bacteria
Description: partial 16S ribosomal RNA
Rfam family: Bacterial small subunit ribosomal RNA
Source: RNAcentral
GACGAACGCUGGCGGCGUGCUUAACACAUGCAAGUCGUACGGUAAGGCCCUUUCGGGGGUACACGAGUGGCGAACGGGUGAGUAACACGUGAGUAACCUGCCCACAACUUUGGGAUAACGCUAGGAAACUGGUGCUAAUACUGGAUAUGUGCUCCUGCUGCAUGGUGGGGGUUGGAAAGCUCCGGCGGUUGUGGAUGGACUCGCGGCCUAUCAGCUCGUUGGUGGGGUAGUGGCCUACCAAGGCGGCGACGGGUAGCAGGCAUGAGAGGGUGACCGGCCACAUUGGGACUGUGAUACAGCCCAGACUCCGACGGGAGGCAGCAGGGGGGAAUAUUGCACAAUGGGCGGAAGCCUGAUGCAGCAACGCCGCCUGCGGGAUGACCUCCUUCGGGUUGUAAACCGCUUUCAGCAGGGACGAAGCUUUUUGUGACGGUACCUUCAGAAGAAGCACCGGCUAACUACGUG